RNAcentral lists this ribosomal RNA (460 nucleotides) under uncultured bacterium. Its description in RNAcentral is "partial 16S ribosomal RNA". It matches the Rfam family "Bacterial small subunit ribosomal RNA", at positions 338 to 795 of the family's 1533-position model. The record is from RNAcentral.
CCUACGGGAGGCUGCAGUGAGGAAUAUUGGUCAAUGGACGCAAGUCUGAACCAGCCAUGCCGCGUGCAGGAAGACGGCUCUAUGAGUUGUAAACUGCUUUUGUAAGAGAGUAAACGCAGAUACGCGUACCUGUCUGAAAGUAUCGUACGAAUAAGCAUCGGCUAACUCCGUGCCAGCAGCCGCGGUAAUACGGAGGAUUCAUGCGUUAUCCGGAUUUAUUGGGUUUAAAGGGUGCGUAGGCGGGCGGAUAAGUUAGAUGUGAAAUGCCGAGGUUCAACUUCGGAAUUGCCUCUGAUACUGGUCGGCUAGAGGUGAGUUGAGGUAGGCGGAAUGUGUGGUGGAGCGGUGAAAUGCUUAGAGAUCAGGCAGAACACCGAGUGCGAAGGCAGCUUACCGAGCCACCUCUGACGUUGAGGCACGAAAGCGUGGGGAGCAAACAGGAUUAGAUACCCGAGUAGUC